GAUGAACGCUGGCGGCGUGCCUAAUACAUGCAAGUCGAGCGAACAGACGAGGAGCUUGCUCCUCUGACGUUAGCGGCGGACGGGUGAGUAACACGUGGAUAACCUACCUAUAAGACUGGGAUAACUUCGGGAAACCGGAGCUAAUAUCGGAUGAUAUAUUGAACCGCAUGGUUCAAUAGUGAAAGACGGUUUUGCUGUCACUUAUAGAUGGAUCCGCGCCGCAUUAGCUAGUUGGUAAGGUAACGGCUUACCAAGGCAACGAUGCGUAGCCGACCUGAGAGGGUGAUCGGCCACACUGGAACUGAGACACGGUCCAGACUCCUACGGGAGGCAGCAGUAGGGAAUCUUCCGCAAUGGGCGAAAGCCUGACGGAGCAACGCCGCGUGAGUGAUGAAGGUCUUCGGAUCGUAAAACUCUGUUAUUAGGGAAGAACAAAUGUGUAAGUAACUAUGCACGUCUUGACGGUACCUAAUCAGAAAGCCACGGCUAACUACGUG
RNAcentral lists this ribosomal RNA (497 nucleotides) under uncultured bacterium. RNAcentral describes it as "partial 16S ribosomal RNA". It matches the Rfam family "Bacterial small subunit ribosomal RNA", at positions 28 to 507 of the family's 1533-position model. The record is from RNAcentral.